AGAGUUUGAUCCUGGCUCAGAACGAACGCUGGCGGCGCGUUUUAAGCAUGCAAGUCGAACGGUAAGCACGGUGCUUGCACUGUGCUGAGAGUGGCGAACUGGUGAGUAACACGUAGGUGAUCUACCUUGAGGCCUGGGAUAGCCUGUGGAAACACAGGGUAAGACCGGAUGAGCCCCUGUACUUGCGGGUAGAGGGGGAAAGGUGCUAUGGCACCGCCUUAAGAUGAGCCUGCGGCCCAUUAGUUAGUUGGUGGGGUAACGGCCUACCAAGGCGACGAUGGGUAGCCGGCCUGAGAGGGUGAUCGGCCACACUGGGACUGAGACACGGCCCAGACACCUACGGGUGGCAGC
RNAcentral lists this ribosomal RNA (351 nucleotides) under uncultured bacterium. RNAcentral's name for it is "bacterial SSU rRNA". It matches the Rfam family "Bacterial small subunit ribosomal RNA", at positions 8 to 352 of the family's 1533-position model. The record is from RNAcentral.